GACGAACGCUGGCGGCGUGCUUAACACAUGCAAGUCGAACGGAAAGGCCCUGCUUUUGUGGGGUGCUCGAGUGGCGAACGGGUGAGUAACACGUGAGUAACCUGCCCUUGACUUUGGGAUAACUUCAGGAAACUGGGGCUAAUACCGGAUAGGAGCUCCUGCUGCAUGGUGGGGGUUGGAAAGUUUCGGCGGUUGGGGAUGGACUCGCGGCUUAUCAGCUUGUUGGUGGGGUAGUGGCUUACCAAGGCUUUGACGGGUAGCCGGCCUGAGAGGGUGACCGGCCACAUGGGGACUGAGAUACGGCCCAGACUCCUACGGGAGGCAGCAGUGGGGAAUAGUGCACAAUGGGCGGAAGCAUGAUGCAGCAACGCCGCGUGCGGGAUGACGGCCUUCGGGUUGUAAACCGCUUUCGCCUGUGACGAAGCGUGAGUGACGGUAAUGGGUAAAGAAGCACCGGCUAACUACG
RNAcentral lists this ribosomal RNA (466 nucleotides) under uncultured bacterium. RNAcentral describes it as "partial 16S ribosomal RNA". It matches the Rfam family "Bacterial small subunit ribosomal RNA", at positions 28 to 505 of the family's 1533-position model. The record is from RNAcentral.